This 2990-nucleotide long non-coding RNA is filed under the name Homo sapiens (human). RNAcentral's name for it is "HSALNT0374573". The record is from RNAcentral. Lineage: Eukaryota; Metazoa; Chordata; Mammalia; Primates; Hominidae.
AGCAUUUGCUGAUGAACCAUGAUGAAAAAAAUUGGAAGGGAACAGGAAACACAUACACUAGCAUCUGGUUUCACCACACUUGAGCCCUUGAGAACUAUUAAGUGAUAGUUUGACACAACUCAGAGUAAAAUCUGUCUGCUCUCUGAAAGUGUGUAUUUUCAUAAUUUAAGUAAUUCAUGCAAAUUAGUUUAGAUCAAAAUGUGAGCUCCAUUGUUGCCUACAAGUCAGCAUGACUUCAUGAUUGUGAUAUAAUAGUAUCAUCACCUCAGGGAAGGAUACUUCUGUGAAAUUAAGUGAUAUAGUCCUAUCUGAGUAGGAAUAUUGUACAUGAAAAAUCCUGCUAAUAAGCAUAGGUCUUAUUUUGAUAUUUUGGAAUUUUAUAGGGAAUUAAAUACAAUAAAAUAAAGCAUCCUACUGAGGUCAGACAUCUGAGAACAACAGGUUAGUCAAAUCCUCAUUCCUGUGAAAUUUACCAAGGGGCUUUUAAAAUGGCCAAACGUUAAAGUAUCUAGCAUGAUGCUUGAAAUAUAAUAUGUGGAAAUACACUAAACUAAAAUGACCCUGUCCAGUCUCAUGGCUUCAAAUACCAGCCCCAUGCUAAUGAUCAAAUUUUCUAUGCAUUCAAAUCUCCCGAACUCAGAUUUAGAUAUCUAACAUCUCUACUGGUUUCUUCACCUGUUUCCCACAUCAAACUUCUUUCUUUUCUUAAUCCAUUUCCCCCCACCUUUUCCAUUAUAUUAAUCAUAAUUAAAUAGGGACGUUUGGCUCAGGCUCUGAAAUUUGACUCACAUCCCAUGUCAAAUUCAACACCAAAUCCUCUCAACUCUACUUUAAAAAUAUUUUCAAAAUAUGACCACUUCUCUCCACUACAACUCUAGCUCAAAUCAUCCUAUCUUUUUCCUAGGUGAUUGCAAUAACAUCUCACUACCUGGAUCUACUCUUUGUCCUAUAGUCAAUUCUUAUCUCAGCAGACAGCAGACUAUUAAAGCUGUGAACCAUAUCAGCCUCUAUUGCCUUCUGUAGCUUCCAUUUCACCUCCAUAGAAAUCUCCACGAUGACAUCUAAGACUCUCUAUGGUUGGUCCCUCUUCUUGCCUUACAACUAAAAACUCUUCUACCAUUUCCACGGUAUUCACUCUGCUGUAGCAGGGAGACCUAUUUGCUGUCCCUUAAACAAAGCAGAUGUCUUUCUCCUCUGGUCUUUGCAUUUGCUGGUCCUAUUACUAGCAGUGUUAUUUUUUACAUCCACUUGAUGACUUCCCUCAUCUCCUUCAAGUCCUUGAUGGAGAAUGUUCUUAUACAGUAAGGACGUACCUGGCAACCAUAUUUAAAACAGAAUCUUCAGUCCCAUGUCCAGAACUCUUUAUGCGCCUUCUCUGUUUUAUAAUAGUUUGAGAAAAUCAGUAAGUGUUUUGGGGACACAGCACUUACCACCACCUGACAUAAUUAGGCAUAAAACUGUAUUUCUUAAUUAUUUUCUUUCUUAUAUAUUUGUUUGCCUUUCAUCAUCUAAGCAUUUAGCAGAAGUUGUCUAUGUUAUUCACCAUGGUAUUCCUAAUUCCUUAAAAAGUGUUGGAUAUAAAACAAACAUACAUUGAACAUUUGUUGAAUAAAAGAAUUAUAUGUAAAAUUACGGUCAAGAAUUUUUCGAGGGGAAAACUCUUAUCCUCUAAACACAUUUAUUUGGAUACCUGGUAAAUUAUACUAUAAUUAACUUGGGAAAUAAACUUGUUCCUCUUAUGUUAAUUGAGGGAAGCUUUGGCAGGAGCAUUCUGCUUCAUCUCCAAGUAUUUUAAUCAAAGCCUAUUGUUAUUUUUUUCAAAUAUGACAACCCUAUGGGACCCACCGAGCUGAAGAUUAGUGAAGAUUAGCUGGGACACCCAGUUCCUGUUCUCAUUGUGGAGUGCCAGAUUUCCUGGGCAAACAGUGUGAGUAGAUAAAGCACAUGGGUGGGGUGGCGUCAGGUUUCAGGCAUCAGCCCAUUCCAGGCUUUGCUCUUCAACACAUACUGUCCUCCUGAGCCAGGACGCAGACCAUGACUACUUUUGCCUCUGCACGUCUGUUCUGAUUUCUUUCUUCAUGUGGGAUGCCUCUCUAUCCUUCUCCUGCUUUUAAUAUGGAGCUUCAGUCUCUAAGCUAAAAGGCCAAGUCCAGAUUCACCUGCCAAUGAAGCUCUUUAAAUUAUCUCUUCUUUCUCAGGACUCACUGGCUAUCAGACAUUACUUUAGGUGAAGACUUUCCAGUCUGACUUCCCUCACCUGAGCCUUAAGGAUCCAUUUUCUGACAUGGUGAUAGUAAAGAUAUUGGUUGUCAAGUGGAAUCUCAGCAGUCAUUUUCAGACAAAGGGAAAGAAAAAGUAUGGAAGAUGCCUGAUUCUCAAAGAGUCAUCCGGUCCUGGGAUUACAGCCUAAGUCCAUGGAAGUGAAAGUCCUCUUUUUCUUUGUACCUCUUACUGAGAUAAGUCUGAUGCAAUUAAUUAUAUUAGUUACAUUCUAUUCAUUGGUUAUAACUAUAUUUUAAAUAUACCUGGUUUAUAAGAAUUAAACCUAUUUGCCAUACCACAGUUAUUGCUUCAGAAGCCAAAUGUGAUUUUAUUAUGGUCAUAAAAUUAUUUUAGAUAUCCUCAUAUCUCUUAUAUAUCUGAACUGCCCAGGAACUUUCAUGAUUAUAAUGUACCACAUAGGACAUAUUGUAGUUGAUCACUAAGCAGAGAAAUCUACCUAGAUUAAGCAAAAAAAAAAAAAAAAUAUGUAUUGAGAUUGAUAUGGUUAGCCUUUUUGUCCCCACUCAGAUAUCAUCUCGAAUUGUAAAUCCCCAUAUUUUCCCCCAUGUGUCAAUGGGAGAGACCAGGUGGAGGUAAUUGAAUCAUGGGGGUGAUAGUGAGUGAGUUCCCAUGAAAUCGGAUGGUUUUCUAAGGGGCUCUUCCUCCUUCACUUGGCAAUUCUCCUUCCUGCCACCCUGUGAGGAAAGUGCCUGCUUCCCCUUCACCUU